GAGGGUGUAGCUCAAGUGGUAGAGUGCCUGUUUAGCAUGUGUGAGGUCCUGGGUUCAAUCCCCGGUACCUCCU
This 73-nucleotide transfer RNA is filed under the name Camelus ferus (Wild Bactrian camel). It matches the Rfam family "tRNA". From Rfam's summary of the family: Transfer RNA (tRNA) molecules are approximately 80 nucleotides in length. Their secondary structure includes four short double-helical elements and three loops (D, anti-codon, and T loops). The record is from Rfam by way of RNAcentral. Lineage: Eukaryota; Metazoa; Chordata; Mammalia; Artiodactyla; Camelidae.